This 22-nucleotide microRNA is filed under the name Chrysemys picta bellii (western painted turtle). Its description in RNAcentral is "Cpi-Mir-9592_5p (mature (co-guide))". The record is from RNAcentral. Lineage: Eukaryota; Metazoa; Chordata; Testudines; Emydidae. RNAcentral also lists the same sequence under 1 other name.
GACCUUAUUCAGACAAAGCUCU